UACGUAGGGUGCAAGCGUUGUCCGGAAUUACUGGGCGUAACGCGUGCGCAGGCGGCUUUGCAAGACAGAUGUGAAAUCCCCGGGCUUAACCUGGGAACUGCAUUUGUGACUGCAUGGCUGGAGUGCGGCAGAGGGGGAUGGAAUUCCGCGUGUAGCAGUGAAAUGCGUAGAUAUGCGGAGGAACACCGAUGGCGAAGGCAAUCCCCUGGGCCUGCACUGACGCUCAUGCACGAAAGCGUGGGGAGCAAACAGG
Molecule: ribosomal RNA, 253 nt
Filed under: uncultured bacterium
Lineage: Bacteria
Description: partial 16S ribosomal RNA
Rfam family: Bacterial small subunit ribosomal RNA
Source: RNAcentral